RNAcentral lists this ribosomal RNA (912 nucleotides) under uncultured bacterium. RNAcentral's name for it is "bacterial SSU rRNA". It matches the Rfam family "Bacterial small subunit ribosomal RNA", at positions 8 to 952 of the family's 1533-position model. The record is from RNAcentral.
AGAGUUUGAUCCUGGCUCAGAAUCAACGCUGGCGGCGUGCCUAACACAUGCAAGUCGAACGAGAAAGGGGAGCAAUCCCUGAGUAAAGUGGCGCACGGGUGAGUAACACGUGACUAACCUACCCUUGAGUGGGGGAUAACCUAGGGAAACCUGGGCUAAUACCGCAUAAUACCUACGGGUCAAAGGAGCAAUUCGCUCGAGGAGGGGGUCGCGGCCGAUUAGUUAGUUGGCGGGGUAAUGGCCCACCAAGACGAUGAUCGGUAUCCGGCCUGAGAGGGCGCACGGACACACUGGAACUGAAACACGGUCCAGACUCCUACGGGAGGCAGCAGUGGGGAAUUUUGCGCAAUGGGGGAAACCCUGACGCAGCAACGCCGCGUGGAGGAUGAAGUACUUCGGUACGUAAACUCCUUUCGAUCGGGACGAUUAUGACGGUACCGAGAGAAGAAGCCCCGGCUAACUUCGUGCCAGCAGCCGCGGUAAUACGAGGGGGGCGAGCGUUGUUCGGAAUUAUUGGGCGUAAAGGGUGCGUAGGCGGUUUGGUAAGUCUUGUGUGAAAUCUAUGGGCUCAACUCAUAGUCUGCACGAGAAACUGCCGGGCUUGAGUGUGGGAGAGGUGAGUGGAAUUCCCGGUAUAGCGGUGAAAUGCGUAGAUAUCGGGAGGAACACCUGUGGCGAAAGCGGCUCACUGGACCACAACUGACGCUGAUGCACGAAAGCUAGGGGAGCAAACAGGAUUAGAUACCCUGGUAGUCCUAGCCCUAAACGAUGACUGCUUGGUGUGACGGGUACCCAAUCCCGCCGUGCCGUAGCUAACGCGUUAAGCAGUCCGCCUGGGGAGUACGUCGCAAGGCUGAAACUCAAAGGAAUUGACGGGGGCCCGCACAAGCGGUGGAGCAUGUGGUUUAAUUC